Molecule: long non-coding RNA, 1366 nt
Organism: Apis mellifera (honey bee)
Lineage: Eukaryota; Metazoa; Arthropoda; Insecta; Hymenoptera; Apidae
Exons: 6
Source: RefSeq, a predicted model, not a curated record
UUUAAUUUAAAUAUCGUUUUUGCCGUCACGUUUAAUCACGUUAUUUUCUAAUAGAUAUUCUGUGAAUUUAUAUUUUGUAAAUCAUAUAAAUUCGUAUAUAUAUAGAUAUACACACAUAUUAUUAAAAUAUAUUUAAAAUAUAAUUUAUAAAAAUAUAAAUAAAUUUAAUGCAUAAUUUCAAAAAAUUGGUAUGAAUAAUACGAAACAAUUUUACGUAACCUUAAUGAUUAUAUCCUAUAUGAAAGUUGACAAUUCAUGAGUAAAAAGAAAUAAAAAAGGAAAAUCAAUGGUAGAAAUGGACAAUGUAUAAAUAUUCCACAUUGUGAAAAUUAUAAUGGUCUAAUCUCAUGGUUUGUGUUGUAAAAAUAAAUACUGUGAUGGAAUAUUUAAAGAACCUGUUAAAAAAAGAAAAUUCAGGAACCGAAGCACAUGUAAAGGAAGCAAAAACUCAGGAACAAGCACAAUUGCUCAACUUUUGUCUGUAGAAGAUAAAAUCGAGAUAAAGAUCCGAGAAUCCACUGCAUUGUGUUUCUUUGAAAUGAAAAUAGUGAAGGAAGAUUUGACUCUAGUCUUCUUAAAUGUGAAAAAAUUCAUCCAAUAUGCACACUGUCACUGCACAUACUGUCAAUGUACACACUUCAAGAUGGGCAAUUUCAAGAUAUUAUGCAGAAGCACGAUCGUUAACUUUAAAGCCAUUCUAUUCUAUCAUCUUUAAACGUAAUGAAACGAAGUAAGAAAUUUGGUUAUCAGAUAUAGGAACUUUUGGUCCUUUGAUACAACAUGUAUCUAAAAAUAUAAUGACCGUAAAAUACUAAGCUUGGAUUAAACAUCCAUCAGAAGAAUUGAAAUUUGUGAAUAUUAAUUUAGAUGAAAAUGAUUUAAGCGUAUCAAAAGAACAUUAACAUUAACGUAUCACGUAUCACAAGAUGAUAAUAUAACAAGAUAAAAUGGUAAAGCAUUGAUACAGAUGUUUCGAGAUGAUACUUUAACACUUGAAAAUUUAAAUGGAAAUAGAUUUGGAUUCAAGGACUCAAUGUAGAAUCUACAAUUUUACCAUACAGUAUCAUUGAAAAUUUUGAAGUUGGAUGUGAUCGUUCCGUAUUAGAGAAUAAUAUGAUAUCUAUUUAUAUUUUUAUAUUUAACAUUAAUAUUCAAUGAUAGGCAAUGAUAGAGAUUGGCACGGUGAAAUUAAAUAGAAGUUUGAAAAUGAUAUGGUAAGCGAUAUGUAAUUGAAGAAAUGAGUCAUGGAUAAAAAUUGAAGAUAAAUUUAUGAGCGAAAAUAAAUAUAAAUCUGAGGAUAUCUUCGUUAACAGUAUUCCUAUGUAUUUAGAAGCAUUGAAAAAAAAAAAAAAAAAAGAAAAAGAAA